CCUACGGGUGGCAGCAGUAGGGAAUCUUCCACAAUGGGCGAAAGCCUGAUGGAGCAACGCCGCGUGGGUUCCUCCUUUCUUCUUCUCUUCCCCCCCUGUUGUUAGAGAAGAAAGUGCGUGAGAGUAACUGUUCACGUUUCGACGGUAUCUAACCAGAAAGCCACGGCUAACUACGUGCCAGCAGCCGCGGUAAUACGUAGGUGGCAAGCGUUAUCCGGAUUUAUUGGGCGUAAAGGGAACGCAGGCGGUCUUUUAAGUCUGAUGUGAAAGCCUUCGGCUUAACCGGAGUAGUGCAUUGGAAACUGGGAGACUUGAGGGCAGAAGAGGAGAGUGGAACUCCAUGUGUAGCGGUGAAAUGCGUAGAUAUAUGGAAGAACACCAGUGGCGAAAGCGGCUCUCUGGUCUGUAACUGACGCUGAGGUUCGAAAGCGUGGGUAGCAAACAGGAUUAGAUACCCUUGUAGUC
Molecule: ribosomal RNA, 465 nt
Filed under: uncultured bacterium
Lineage: Bacteria
Description: partial 16S ribosomal RNA
Rfam family: Bacterial small subunit ribosomal RNA
Source: RNAcentral